GUCGAGAAUCUUUCACAAUGGGGGCAACCCUGAUGGAGCGACGCCGCGUGGAGGAUAAGGUCUUCGGAUUGUAAACUCCUGUCAUGCGUGAACAAGGUUGCUUGGUUAAUACCUGGGCAAAUUGAUGGUAACGCAAGAGGAAGAGACGGCUAACUCUGUGCCAGCAGCCGCGGUAAUACAGAGGUCUCAAGCGUUGUUCGGAAUCACUGGGCGUAAAGGGUGCGUAGGUGGCGUGGUAAGUCAGAUGUGAAAGCCCGGGGCUCAACCGCGGAAAUGCAUCCGAUACUGCCAUGCUAGAGUACUGGAGAGGUGACUAGAAUUCUCGGUGUAGCAGUGAAAUGCGUAGAUAUCGAGAGGAAUACCAAAGGCGUAGGCAGGUCACUGGACAGUUACUGACACUGAGGCACGAAGGCCAGGGGAGCGAACGGGAUUAGAUACCCGGUAGUCC
RNAcentral lists this ribosomal RNA (448 nucleotides) under uncultured bacterium. RNAcentral's name for it is "partial 16S ribosomal RNA". It matches the Rfam family "Bacterial small subunit ribosomal RNA", at positions 354 to 796 of the family's 1533-position model. The record is from RNAcentral.